Molecule: ribosomal RNA, 253 nt
Filed under: uncultured bacterium
Lineage: Bacteria
Description: partial 16S ribosomal RNA
Rfam family: Bacterial small subunit ribosomal RNA
Source: RNAcentral
UACGUAGGGGGCAAGCGUUGUCCGGAUUUAUUGGGCGUAAAGAGCGUGUAGGCGGCCAGAUAGGUCAGCUGUGAAAACUCGAGGCUCAACCUCGAGACGCCGGUUGAAACCAUCUGGCUAGAGUCCGGAAGAGGAGAGUGGAAUUCCUGGUGUAGCGGUGAAAUGCGUAGAUAUCAGGAGGAACACCUGUGGUGUAGACAGCUUACUGGACCACUUCUGACGCUGAGACACGAAAGCGUGGGUAGCAAACAGG